CCUACGGGCGGCAGCAGUGAGGAAUAUUGGUCAAUGGACGAGAGUCUGAACCAGCCAAGUAGCGUGAAGGAUGACUGCCCUAUGGGUUGUAAACUUCUUUUAUAUGGGAAUAAAAUGUUCCACGUGUGGGAUUUUGUAUGUACCAUAUGAAUAAGGAUCGGCUAACUCCGUGCCAGCAGCCGCGGUAAUACGGAGGAUCCGAGCGUUAUCCGGAUUGAUUGGGUUUAAAGGGAGCGUAGGUGGAUUGUUAAGUCAGUUGUGAAAGUUUGCGGCUCAACCGUAAAAUUGCAGUUGAAACUGGCAGUCUUGAGUACAGUAGAGGUGGGCGGAAUUCGUGGUGUAGCGGUGAAAUGCUUAGAUAUCACGAAGAACUCCGAUUGCGAAGGCAGCUCACUGGACUGCAACUGACACUGAGGCUCGAAAGUGUGGGUAUCAAACAGGAUUAGAUACCCGGGUAGUC
Molecule: ribosomal RNA, 460 nt
Filed under: uncultured bacterium
Lineage: Bacteria
Description: partial 16S ribosomal RNA
Rfam family: Bacterial small subunit ribosomal RNA
Source: RNAcentral